GUGUCAGCAGCCGCGGUAAUACGUAGGUGGCAAGCGUUGUCCGGAAUUAUUGGGCGUAAAGCGCGCGCAGGCGGGUGUUUAAGUCUAUCUUAAAAGUGCGGAGCUCAACUCCGUGAUGGGGUAGAAACUGGACAUCUUGAGUGUCGGAGAGGAAAGUGGAAUUCCCAGUGUAGCGGUGAAAUGCGUAGAUAUUGGGAGGAACACCAGUGGCGAAGGCGACUUUCUGGACGAUGUCUGACGCUGAGGCGCGAAAGCCAGGGUAGUGAACGGGAUUAGAUACCCCGGUAAUCCUGGCCGUAAACGAUGGGUACUAGGUGUAGAGGGUAUCGACCCCUUCUGUGCCGGAGUUAACGCAAUAAGUACCCCGCCUGGGGAGUACGGCCGCAAGGUUGAA
Molecule: ribosomal RNA, 394 nt
Filed under: uncultured bacterium
Lineage: Bacteria
Description: bacterial SSU rRNA
Rfam family: Bacterial small subunit ribosomal RNA
Source: RNAcentral